UCUUCGCUCCCACACUGACUGGUGAUGC
This 28-nucleotide small RNA is filed under the name Bombyx mori (domestic silkworm). Its description in RNAcentral is "ovarian small RNA-30126". Lineage: Eukaryota; Metazoa; Arthropoda; Insecta; Lepidoptera; Bombycidae. The record is from RNAcentral.